Non-coding RNA from Enterococcus columbae, 98 nucleotides. The record is from Rfam. NCBI's taxonomy places the organism in Bacteria, Bacillati, Bacillota, Bacilli, Lactobacillales, Enterococcaceae.
UAGGAACAUAAACUGGGGACAAGGCUAAAUGGUGGAUGUGCUUGCAUAACAAAUUGAAGUCCUGAAGGUAAAAGUAAAACCAAGACAGUAAAUCCGUA